GCAAUGUUCGAGGAUGCAUACGUAAAAUUGCGAAAGUAUCCUAUCACCCAUUUUCACGGUGCUUCCCUAGUUUGUGCCCCAGAACUGCUGUGAGUCCCUGAAGCACCUACACCUGGUGAAUCACUCCUGAUCGCUGGAUGGAACACUGUUUACACAGAGCAAUGGGCACUUAAACAGGCUCUAAGCGCUUUUAUGUUGUUCCAAAUAAAUGAAGGAAAACAAAAGAUUAACGACCCAGAAACUGAUUCAUUGAAGUGUUUACCCAUAACGACACCAUUCAGUUUGUUUUCCCAUCCCGAGCCAUCCAAACACUUUUCGGUGCCAAAUGCUGCAGGCGGCGAGAAGCAGAUCCCGCCCGUUCACAUACCAAGUGACUGUUUAUCAACGGAUCUUCAAGUGUUUUUUCGACUGGUAGCGCUCUAUUAGUAGCGCUCAGGCAGCUGAUAAGGCGGUCCAUUGGGCAAGGCCAGAUACAGGCCAGAUCGAACCCCGAACAUCGCAUCUCACCCACUCAGGGCUCGGGCCGGGGCCAAUCUAACGCCCCUAAUCGACCAAAUGUCUAUUGCGACUUUAAUUGCCGGGCAUUACGAGUCGGCAGGUCCAUUAAAACGUUAAUUAAGUUGCCCCAUGGAACUCGGACACAUGUGCGUAUCCCAAAUCUCUCUCAGCCUAGAGCUACACCACAACAUUUUCAUCUGAACAGCUCGCGAAAAAACAAACCAUCCAUCUAGAGCUAGUUGGACCCAACUCAGCGUUUGCCGAUUUGAAUGGCUGUCCAUAAAGCGCGAUGAGCUAAAAGGAAGAAGAACGCCAAAUCGUUUUAUGCAUGCGGUAAAAAUGAGAAAUUUUUUACCCGAAAUUUGAACAAUAAACAAAA
This is a long non-coding RNA of Drosophila biarmipes, 877 nucleotides long. RefSeq lists it as uncharacterized. The record is from RefSeq and is a predicted model, not a curated record. The transcript has 3 exons. Lineage: Eukaryota; Metazoa; Arthropoda; Insecta; Diptera; Drosophilidae.